AUCUUGGCACCGUGCUGCUUUCCCAAAGAAUGACUUCUUAAGUAUCAUCGCCGCAAUAAUGUUUCACAGCUAAGUUCGAGAUGGGUUAGUGUGGUUCCAUUAUGCUAAUAGCACCAAGAU
This 120-nucleotide ribosomal RNA is filed under the name Heterosigma akashiwo. Lineage: Eukaryota; Raphidophyceae; Chattonellales; Chattonellaceae. The record is from RNAcentral.